AGAGAGUGGGAGAGAGAGCACAAUAGGGGGAGGGGGGAGGGAAGGGACAAGCAGACUCUCCCUGAGUGGGGAGCCCAGUGCGGGGCUCAAUUCCAGAUUCCUGAGAUGAUGACAGGAGACGAUGUCAGUUGCUUAACCUAAUGAACCACUGGGCGCCUAAUCCUUUAAUUGCUUAAAUAAUUAUGAUAGCCUCCAGACCAAACAUGGACUUGAACCCCAACCCUGAGAUCAAGGGUGAGGUGCUCUACAAACUGAGCCAACUGAAAGUCCUAGAAUUUAUCCUUUGAAAUAAACCACAGUACCUCAAUUCAGUCAACUUUGAUUUUUAAUAAAAGUGAGUCAUCGUGGGGGCGCUUGGGUGGCUCAGUCGGUUAAGCAUCUGCUUACAGCUCAGGUCGUGAUCCCAGGGUCCUGGGAUGCAGCCCCCUGUGUUGGGCUCUCCCCUCAGGGGAAGUCGGCUUCUCCCUCUUCCUCACCCCCACAUGCUUGUUCUCUCUCUCCCUCAAAUAAAUAAAAUCUUUACAAAACGAGUCCAUGAUGAAGCCAGCACUGCCAUAUUCUGCUUGACACCGAGUCGUGUUCCGGAAAGAGUCUCGUGGUCAGUGUUGAAGGACAGAAAGGCCAUCGAGCCCAGGGCCAGCGGGCCCAGGCACGCCUGUGCCGCCCCCAGCUCGGGGCUCCGGGCCGCCCUCCGCCCUCAGGCUGCCGCAGGCUCUGAGGGAGAAACAGCCCUGGGACUAGGGCCGCCCUGAGCGCGAGCAGCAUUGCUGAGCAGCACCGGGGGGCGGCAGCUGAGAAGGGGGAGCAAGCAGAGGACAGAUGCAUCCUCACACACGCUCCAUCCGUUCGCUUUCGCAAACCAAGUCAGGAAGCAGGAACUUUACAGGCUCAGAGAGUCUCUGCGGGAGGAGAGUCGACCAGGACCCAGCGUCGGUCCGUCCCACUGAUGCCCUCGAACGUGGAGGUUCAGAAGGGAGCCACGUGGCAGAGGGAGUGGAGGUGCCCGAGGCUCCUGGGUCCCCCCACUGCACCUGGAUGGAGGCGCAGUGGAAGGACUGAUCCACUGAGAGAUUUAUGGAGCCUCAGGUCUCAUCCCCUGGGUUUGUCUGCAUCGUGGAGCAUUGAGGUUCCCUUCCUGCAGCCUCUAAGGUGGACGGUCAGGGCCGCAGCUCUCGGGGACCACGGCUCUGGCCUUCCCGGGGACUCGGCUCCUCUCGUGUCCUCAAGCCUCCGUCCCCUGCCUCUGGGUGUGGGGCAAGUGAAGAGCCAGGCUGUGGCUGGGCCCCGGCUCCAGGGCACACGUGUGUCCCUGUCUGUCAUCCGUUUUCCUCUUUCGCCUCUGGCUGUUUUACUAUUGCAAACGGCAUUAAAAAAAACCAAAAAGUUACUCUGCUCUGAGGAAGAGCGCACGGGUGGCUCGUCCCCAGGGAAGGUCUCUAGAGUGCAGGGGAAAGUCCUACUGAGACCCCAGGACAUCCUUCCCGGAGGCAGGAGAAGGAGGGAGGUGUCAAUCAACACAGCCUGUUAA
RNAcentral lists this long non-coding RNA (1528 nucleotides) under Canis lupus familiaris (dog). RNAcentral describes it as "lncRNA (ENSCAFG00000058465.1)". Lineage: Eukaryota; Metazoa; Chordata; Mammalia; Carnivora; Canidae. The record is from RNAcentral.